RNAcentral lists this ribosomal RNA (370 nucleotides) under uncultured prokaryote. Its description in RNAcentral is "bacterial SSU rRNA". It matches the Rfam family "Bacterial small subunit ribosomal RNA", at positions 524 to 896 of the family's 1533-position model. The record is from RNAcentral.
UACGGAGGGUGCAAGCGUUAUCCGGAUUCACUGGGUUUAAAGGGAGCGUAGGUGGCUUUGUAAGUCAGUGGUGAAAUAUUGCGGCUCAACCGCAAAACUGCCAUUGAUACUGCUUAGCUUGAAUCAAGUCGAGGUGGAUGGAAUAAUACAUGUAGCGGUGAAAUGCUUAGAUAUGUAUUAGAACACCGAUUGCGAAGGCAGUUCACUAGGCUUGUAUUGACACUGAGGCUCGAAAGCGUGGGGAUCAAACAGGAUUAGAUACCCUGGUAGUCCACGCCCUAAACGAUGUAAACUCGACAUUAGCGAUAUACUGUUAGUGUCCAAGCGAAAGCGUUAAGUUUACCACCUGGGAAGUACGUCCGCAAGGAUG